GACGAACGCUGGCGGCGUGCUUAACACAUGCAAGUCGAACGGUAAGGCCCUUCGGGGUACACGAGUGGCGAACGGGUGAGUAACACGUGGGUAAUCUGCCCUGCACAUCGGGAUAAGCCUGGGAAACUGGGUCUAAUACCGAAUAGGACCACAGAACACAUGUCCUGUGGUGGAAAGCUUUUGCGGUGUGGGAUGGGCCCGCGGCCUAUCAGCUUGUUGGUGGGGUGAUGGCCCACCAAGGCGACGACGGGUAGCCGGCCUGAGAGGGUGUCCGGCCACACUGGGACUGAGAUACGGCCCAGACUCCUACGGGAGGCAGCAGUGGGGAAUAUUGCACAAUGGGCGAAAGCCUGAUGCAGCGACGCCGCGUGGGGGAUGACGGCCUUCGGGUUGUAAACCUCUUUCACCAUCGACGAAGGUCCGGGUUUUCUCGGGUUGACGGUAGGUGGAGAAGAAGCACCGGCCAACUACGUGCCAGCAGCCGCGGUAAUACGUAGGGUGCGAGCGUUGUCCGGAAUUACUGGGCGUAAAGAGCUCGUAGGUGGUUUGUCGCGUUGUUCGUGAAAUCUCACGGCUUAACUGUGAGCGUGCGGGCGAUACGGGCAGACUUGAGUACUGCAGGGGAGACUGGAAUUCCUGGUGUAGCGGUGGAAUGCGCAGAUAUCAGGAGGAACACCGGUGGCGAAGGCGGGUCUCUGGGCAGUAACUGACGCUGAGGAGCGAAAGCGUGGGGAGCGAACAGGAUUAGAUACCCUGGUAGUCCACGCCGUAAACGGUGGGUACUAGGUGUGGGUUUCCUUCCUUGGGAUCCGUGCCGUAGCUAACGCAUUAAGUACCCCGCCUGGGGAGUACGGCCGCAAGGCUAAAACUCAAAGAAAUUGACGGGGGCCCGCACAAGCGGCGGAGCAUGUGGAUUAAUUCGAUGCAACGCGAAGAACCUUACCUGGGUUUGACAUGCACAGGACGCCGGCAGAGAUGUCGGUUCCCUUGUGGCCUGUGUGCAGGUGGUGCAUGGCUGUCGUCAGCUCGUGUCGUGAGAUGUUGGGUUAAGUCCCGCAACGAGCGCAACCCUUGUCUCAUGUUGCCAGCGGGUAAUGCCGGGGACUCGUGAGAGACUGCCGGGGUCAACUCGGAGGAAGGUGGGGAUGACGUCAAGUCAUCAUGCCCCUUAUGUCCAGGGCUUCACACAUGCUACAAUGGCCGGUACAAAGGGCUGCGAUGCCGCGAGGUUAAGCGAAUCCUUUUAAAGCCGGUCUCAGUUCGGAUCGGGGUCUGCAACUCGACCCCGUGAAGUCGGAGUCGCUAGUAAUCGCAGAUCAGCAACGCUGCGGUGAAUACGUUCCCGGGCCUUGUACACACCGCCCGUCACGUCAUGAAAGUCGGUAACACCCGAAGCCAGUGGCCUAACCCUUUGGGAGGGAGCUGUCGAAGGUGGGAUCGGCGAU
Molecule: ribosomal RNA, 1445 nt
Filed under: Mycobacterium sp. 12/13.7 AW
Lineage: Bacteria; Bacillati; Actinomycetota; Actinomycetes; Mycobacteriales; Mycobacteriaceae
Description: bacterial SSU rRNA
Rfam family: Bacterial small subunit ribosomal RNA
Source: RNAcentral